Long non-coding RNA from Platichthys flesus (European flounder), 1060 nucleotides. RefSeq lists it as uncharacterized. The record is from RefSeq and is a predicted model, not a curated record. The transcript has 3 exons. NCBI's taxonomy places the organism in Eukaryota, Metazoa, Chordata, Actinopteri, Pleuronectiformes, Pleuronectidae.
GGCCCACAGAGGGCCGGCUCCAAGAAACAGAAAGUCCCAUCGACUCCCAUGUUAAAAAGGACUUUAGAGCAGAAUUAAACCUGUUUACAGCAUGGCACAAAAAUUGGUUUUAGUCUCAUUCGCGAGGUUCUUCCUUCAUGACAAAUCUGAGGGGGGUGAAUUUUGUUGUAACUCCCUUGUUUACGCGAUAGAGAGGUUUGAAAUUAACGUGACGCCACAGUCAGUGUGCUGACUGCCGCUCCUAGCCUGCUGCCUGCUCGGCUCUGCCGGAGCUAACAGGCUAACCCCCGGUCAGUUAACACCACCUGAGACCAUUUAAAGGCUUCCACUCACACAUCGGAUGAGUAACACGGUUUGAUGCUCUGCUUGUUCUCCUGAUGGACAAGUUAAAGGCGUCUGCACUCCCGUUUCUGCGGCUGUCCAACAUGAGACACAACUGGAAUCCAACCAGACUGAACCCUGAGUCAUCACUUCAACACUGACUCCAGGGACGGACGAGCCUGAAGGACACAGCUGUGAUGACCAUGUUCUGUCUCUUAUGGCAAAGAAGAAAAAUAAAACACUGUGUUCUUAUCUAAAGUGUAUCAAAUCAUAAAGCAAAAGAUAAACGUUGUUCUAAUAAGUGUGAAUUUUUUUAACAAACCAUAAUGAAUAUAGAAAUUUACUAUUAUCCAUGACACUUAGCAAUGAGCCAGUUCUAAACAGUUGCAGGCCAUCUUUAGUGAAGGAAGGAAAACAUGAAGCUGGUGCUGUCGUCCUCAUGUUGAUCAGCCUGAAGCUGCCGAUCUCCAUCAUGUUGCUUUUUUGUGUUGUGUAUGAAGCUCCACAGAUUUCGGACAGAACCGAUGUACUGCGCUCUGGGUUUGUACCCUCAUGGUUAAAUGCACAUAUUUUAAGUCGCUUUGGAUAAAAGUACUGAAAUAAAUAAAACAUUGUACGAAUAGACAAAAUGUCUUUCUACCUCAUCUGUAAUAUUCAAGGUGAUAAUCUCCCACAGAGCUGGAGAUUAUAAUCAUAUCUAAACUAUCUAAUUCACUUGAAAAUUCCAUAACAGGCUAAA